Molecule: long non-coding RNA, 26514 nt
Filed under: Fragaria vesca (wild strawberry)
Lineage: Eukaryota; Viridiplantae; Streptophyta; Magnoliopsida; Rosales; Rosaceae
Description: long non-coding RNA (FVES_LNC001536)
Source: RNAcentral
UUGUUGUGGCUUAAUUGAAUUGCUCUAAGGGACUUGCAUGAGUAAAGGCUUAUUGGCAAGAUACCAGUAAAAUGAUUACUGACGAAGACAAGUUUACGAAGUUGACCAAGUCUAGAGAAAUUAUAAGCUGAGAUAUCUCCGUCCAAAAGGUUGAAUCCUAGAUUCAGUUCCAUAAGGUUUGUGCAAUUCAGCAAAGAUGGUGGCAAAGAACCUUCUAGAUUGUUGGAAUGAAGGAGCAAGACUUUCAAUUUGGAGAGCUUCCCAAUAUCUAUUGGAAGCAUGCCACUGAACUGAUUCAAGUAGAGGUCAAGGACUGUGAGGUUAGUAAGUUUAACAAUUCUGUUACUGAUGCCCCCUCUAAAAGAAUUUGCAGGGAUUGCAAGUUCUUCUAGUGCGGUAGAAUUAUAGAUAUCUUCCGGAAGUGAUCCUGAGAGGGUAUUGUGACCAGCACGAAAAACUUCCAGUUUGGAACAGUUUCCUAGUGUGCGAGAGAGAUUGCCUCCAAAAUUAUUGUAGGAAAAAUCUAAUAGCCUAAUCAAAGAAGAAGAGUGGACACAAAUAGGGGAGGGGAUAUAACCUGUGAAUUGGUUGUUCGUGACAUUGAAAUGAGACAAGUUCUUUGCUUGUUGGAAGAAGGAUGAUGGAAUUGCACCAUGGAACCGAUUGCUAGAAAAAUCCACCAUCCGAAUAUUAUUGGAUGAUGAUAGAGAACCUGGUAGCUCUCCAGAAAGAAAGUUAAAACUCAAAUCAAGUACCUCAAGACGACCCAGGGACAAGAAGAAUCCAGCUUGAUCUAAAGAACCACGAAGUGAAUUGCGAGAGAGAUUGAGGUAGGUUAGAUGUGUGAGAUUACUGAGUGAUGAUGAGGAAAAAAGAUCUCCUUUGAGUUUGAGGCCUUUGGAGGAUAGGUGCAAAUGGGUUACUCGACCAACCGCAUCACAAGUAAUGCCUUCCCAUUUGCAACAAUCCAAGCUAGUCCAAUUUAAGGAAGGAGAAGACAGAGUGAGGGCAAAAGACAAGAGAGAGGUUCUUUCACUUGAGGAGUAUGCAUGAAUAUGUGUAGAUGAAAUGGAGCCAAGUAGAAUAAGAAGCAAGUAUUGAGCUAUUGGGUGAUAAGGUUGCCCUGCUAGCAUCUUUCUUGGUUUGUGGGACAGUUCAGGUUUAGUUUGAGUUGCUCACCUAGCUAGCCUUGUGCUUGUUUAUAUAACCAAGAGCCUUCACUUUUUUCUUAGCUUCAAUUCUUGAAACAGUAGCCUUGCAUCAAAUUUUUCAUUGACGCUGGAGUCACUUAGAUACUGAUAAAGUAGCAUGAGGUUCACAUCCAAAACCAUUUGGCAAUGGGUGGAGUGGCCCAAACUCUUAUAAACCCACAUGCAAUGUCUCAUAUUCCCAAUGUGGGAUCGAUAUCUUAACACGCCCCCGCACGUUCGUGUGACCGUUACUCAUUCACACGUGGACAUGGAUAACCCGUUCUGAUAUCAUGAUAAAGUAUUAUGGGGUUCACAUCUAAAACCGAUUGGCAAUGGGUGGAGUGACCCAAACCUUUAUAAACUCACAGGUAAGGUCUCAUAUUUUCGAUGCAGGAUCGAUAUCUCAACAGAUACUCAUGACAUUUGACGCAUGCAUGUAGACUUCUCGAUUACAUGUGAAAUGGAGUUAUGGAGUGAACAACAAAGAUCAUGUUUGGCUGGGUGAGUAAUGUUUAUCAUGAAGGCAGACAUUGGGAUCCAGACAUUGUCGUUACAUCAAUUAAAUUAAGUCCAUGUUGGCGUGCUGUGUGCUGUUGAUGACUUUCAAAAUGUUGAUUUCUCUGAAAUGUGAGUGGGUUGUGACUUGUUAAGUUUUUGAUUAUUUGUAAACCUAACAUUGUAGAGGUUAUGACUCCGAACAAACUAUUAUAUGAGAAUAUGCGGGGUGGGAAAACAAACAGAAAGAAGGAAGAACUAAUUUCUAGUCUUGUGGUGUUAGUGACGAAGGGGAUGGAAGAACCCCCAUAGGAUGAGGAAGUCAGUGAAAUUAAUGACCUUGUAUUAAAUUUUUCAUUGACGUUGGAGUCACUAAGAUAUUGACGUCCGACGCACCCAUGUAGACUUCUUACUUACAUCUUGUAUGGCUCUGUGACCAUCAAAAAUCUAAGAAGAUAUAACUUUUAAGAAGAUAUACUAGAAAUGCAACUUAGUGACCAAUAAAAAUUUGGGAAGAUAUACUAGAGGAAAUAAAUAAGGAAUAAGUCAAGAAGUCAAUAACAAACUUGGGAAAGGACAGUAUUUCUCGGUUUGAAUAUUAGGCCAAUUACAUAUAAGUCCAUCCAAAUAGGUGAAAAAAUGUUUAAAAAGUGAUUAAGGUGAAAUUUUCUAUUGAAUAUUCUAAGUAGGCAACUUGCAAAGAAGGAGCUACUGUCAUGAAAACCAUAAGAAAGCCAAACCCCCUGAACCGGUCCACAUUACUACAACCAAAAACGCGCUUCUGAGGUCUGGUUUUUGACCAAUCUCACAUUUUCUACAUCACCUUCUUCUUUGUUCCUCUUCCCAUUUUACACUUCUAGUUUCCCUUCCGGAGACGUUUGGCAGACUUGACUAGAUUGGAUUGGCAAAGCCAGAUUGGAUUGGUAAAGGAUUUUGAUUUGCUACUCUUAUCUAGUGUUUGGAGCAACCAGAUAACAAUAUUACUGGAUAAGAAUAUUUAAACAAAAUCAAAUGAAUUAAAAGAAGAUAUCAAUUUAAAUUUCCAAUUAUUAUGAAAAUAAAUUGGAUGAAGUUUACAGAUCUGCAGAUCGAUAAGAUACAUCUUUGAAGAGAAUAGUCCAUAUCAGCUUUCAAUUUCUAGCCAUAGAUUUAGCCGAAAUGAGUCUAAUUUUGCUAUGUGAUUCCCUCUUCGGAUCAGAUCAUCCACAACGUGGUUGAGAAAAAUAAUUUGAUCAUGAAAUUCUUAAGAAAAAUACUAUUUCAUCCUUCCAAAAUCUAAAAUGACUCAAUUAUAUUGUAUUUUUUUUAUAUGAAAACAAUUUUUAUUCUUCAAUCAAGAAUCGAAAAUUUUCAUGUAAUUCAGUCAAUAGAUUUGCAUGACACGUACAUGUACGUGAAUUAGAACUUUGUUGCGUUCCGAAAUUUUUUUAACAAUACAUUCAUAUGAUAUUAUGCUUAUUUGUGUGUGUAUAUGAUGAGCGUUAGUUUCAUAAUACAAAGCUAACUCCCCAUUAACUAAAAUUUUCGGUCAUAUAUCUAGAUCUUCCAAUCUUCAGUUUAUAGUUCCCUAUGUGCGUUACAGAAAAUUUUCAGCCAAUCUAAUGAUGGUUUGGGUAUCGAGCAGUGUCAAAUUAAUGGACGAACCGAUAUUUAACUUAAACCGAUCAUGUUCAUAAUUAAUAAAUCACUAUUUUGAAUACCCAAACGAUUGUCAAAUUGGCUGGAAAUAUUCAGGGAUGAUCCACGCAUAGGGAACUACAUGCUGAACAAUGAAAGAUCCAGACAUAUGACCGAAAAGUUGGGUUAAGGGCGGGUUAGCUUUGAAUUAUGAAACUAACCGGUUAGUUCUAUAACGCAUCAUUCAGUUUGUGUGUGUGUGUAUACAAUCUCUAUCCACAGCGAAACUUCGUUUUGAAAUUAAAAUGUGAAGUGCAAUUUUUGACUCAUUUUUUAGUUAUAUUUUCACAUUUUCACCGUUCAGUUUACAGAAUCUAAUGCAUAGAUUGGUCUUAAGUGCUUAAAACGUCCUGUUUAGUUUGUAAACACACAGUGUUUCGUGCUAUCGGUGUGACCGUGUUAGGUAGCCGUGAGAUGUAGUAACCAGUGUCAGAAUGACACGUGUCUGUCAUGUCCACGACUCAUCUAUAUGAGCUGCUGCUUUCUUCUUUUGAGAUAUGCAUGACCUAUUUUUUUUUGUUAACUUUUUUAUUAAAUAACUUACACACUUUUAUAUCGGUGAUGUUUGAAUUCAUGAUGAAAUCAACGUUGUUGAUUAAGUUACCGAAUCAACCAGGCACGGCUCACGAACUAUGCAUGACCAUUUUACUUUCUUAGAUAUUUUAUUGACACUUUCAUUUUCUUCUAAAACGUUAGGGUUAGAACCCCAACACUCUUUUGGGGAUAAAGUUAACCAAGAGAGAAGUUCCAGAAUGAGAAUCUGCAAUUGUAUUACACUAUUACAAGUUUACAACCACCAUCAGAAUCCAUCACAAUAUCAUGCAUAGAAGCAUGUUCAAGUCCUAUCAUGGUAUACAUCUCCAUUGAAAAAUUUGAAAGUAGAAUAUCGAAUAUGCUUUUUUUUAGGGUGGUGCUAUAUUAACACAUCUUUUUUUUUUUCCUAUUAACACAUCAUAUAUAUAAUGAGAACCAAUUAUCGAUCAAAUUCAAGUGACAAGUUUGUAAAUAAAAUAAAAAUAUGUGGAUAGAAAAAUAGAUGAAGUGUAUUAAUAGCAAUAAUUGGGUGUGGUAAUAACAAUACCCUUAUAAAUAGGCGAUNNNNNNNNNNNNNNNNNNNNAGACUGAGAGAGAGUUAGAGAUAGACGAUGAAAUUUGGAAUACUCGCCUAUUUAUAAAGAGAUUUUUAAGAAGAUGAAUCUUCUUCAUAACUCUGGUAACGGGUACUUGAUUUGCUUCAUUUUUGCUAGUAUAUUACACGAAACGCUGAAAAUUGUUAGAGAUUGCGCGAUUUAUGUUGAGUUUUUUUUUUUUUUUCCUGAUAUCUUCAUUAAAAAAGAUUUUGGGACCCUAAAUUUUAGGUUAAGGCCUAUCGCCCUGCUUGCCCAGAACCAGGGCCGGGCCUGUAUAAGUACUGUUUAAGCAAUAAGAUUGUCAUUUGUUUAUUUAGAUCGUUAGAAAUUUAGUUCAUUUGUAGGCUCCCUUGAAGGAUGAGGUUGUUUUAUGCACACCAAUAAUUCUAUGACUUGUGGAUACUAGGAGUUGACACACAAACUGUAUCCACGGAACACAGAUAUAGGAUACUGAGAUGGAUUGCGAGUCAUUACAGAAAUAUUUUUAACAGUUUUAUUAUAGGAUAGAAUAGUACUUAUGUUGAACUGUCAUGCUGUACAUGUAAGUACGUAGUGUAGUAAAAUAGAGCUGUAUAACAUAAAAGCUCCCUAGCCUCUUGAUAUUUCUCUUAUUCAUAUUCACUAUUUGACUAUAGUUUGACGGUACUAUGGAGCGCUUGGUGUUGGUGUAUUUCCACUCCUUCCCCAGAUCCCUGCAAAGUAAACAAAAUGGAAAAUGUACGUAUAUAUGGUAUUAGUUUAGUGAAUGAAACACUGGCACCACUCUAGUUUAACCCUAAAAAUGAGAAUGGGUUCAACCAACUAGUUACUGAUACACUUUCUGGAAAAGAAAAUGAAAUUGCACUUGUAUAUAUCAACUGAAUUGUUGUGGGUUAGAUAGGAAGAGAGAAAAAACAAAUACCUUCAAUGGGGGUGCCGGAUGGACCUGAAUUAAGGGAGACCAAACCGUUGUGAUUACACUUAGUAAUGCCCAUCCGACGAGGGUGACAAUGAAUAGAAAUCCGAUUUGAGGGAGAAGAUGACAGACCAGUUGAGCUGUGUUGAGGUUGGUUGGAUGCAUACGCAUGAAGAAUGUUAUUAGUAGAUAGAAAGGAACAGAAGAAGAUCAGGAAGAGAAAGAUUCUGCCCUGAGCCAUUGCCAUUUCUCCGGUAAGUUCAGUAUGAUUUCUCACCUAGUAUUGCCGGCUAUAUAUGGUAAAUUAGGAUUAUUUUGAUGCAAAUAAGUCAACAGAAUAGGCUAUCUCUCUGGUCCAAGUUGAUUAAGCCGAUUGAGACACGACCAGAAAGUCUAUAACCCAAUCUGACUGGCAUUACAUCUUUCGUUUUAGUCAAGAUAGAUCAUUAACCUUCGAACCAGUUAAACGAAAAUGAAAUGUUUUGACAAUACAUUGUAGCGGCGUAUUGAAAAAAUCGUAGAGGGUUCAGGGUUUGGAUCCUCUUACGCAUUGUGUACGUAGUCUACAGUAUAAUUCCCAUAUUAUUACUUCUGAUUUGUAUGUAGAAGAAGACUGCAGAAGAAGUUUGAGACAGACAACUUUGCCAACCUUUACAUAUCUAUAUUACCGGCAGCAAACAACUUUAACAACGGGAAAUAUACUGCAUAUGCAUGACCUUUCAGUCUAGCUUCCAUUAAGCCUGUUCUUCAUCCUUUUGAUCCCCACAUGCAGCUUUCAUCACAUAGAGGCUGUCAUAUGCAUUAUUGAGAAAUUGGAAAUAAGCAUAUCUCCAGGUCUUGAUAAAAAUCAAAGAACCACAUACUGACCAAAAUCCUACGAAAAACCCAAGCACAACUGGAAAUAUAAACCAUGGGACCUGAUCCUGUUGUUAUCAUCUCCAUCAAGGUCAUCAUUUGGGAGUGCUGGUUGGCAUUCAUAUGGAAGUGGAAGACAACAGAGGUUGGGAUUCCCCUCAAAUGCAGAUGCACCGAAGCUUUGCAACUGAGUGCCUGUUGGUAUUUGUCCUUCCACAUUAUUGUAUGAGACAUUAAAUACUGCCAAGAAAUUAAGGCUUGUUAAUGAUGCAGGCAUAUUUCCAGAGAAAUGAUUUACGGAGAGAUCCAAUGUUGCCAAGUCUUUGAGGUUGGAUGUUUGGUCUGGAAUCUUGCCUGAGAAGAAAUUGUUUGCAAGGUUCAACACACGGAGAAGCUUCGAUUGGCCAAUCUCAUUCGGUAUAUAUCCAGUCAUGUUAUUGUUCAUUAGUACUAAGGCCACUGGAAAUAACAACAAAGAAUUGUAUUGUUGAGCUCGCUUGCCAUCAGCAGUGAAGUAGAUAGGCAAUUCGAGAUCAUCACUGGACAAGUUGUUGUUUUGAGAUACCAACAUUGGCACUUUGGCAGGCUGCAAAGUUCCUUUGGAAAUUCCCCAGAAAUGAGGUUGGCUCCCAAGUCUAUGUGUAAGAGCCUAGGAAGAGUCCCAAGCUGACUAGGAAUUUGUCCUUUGAAUUUAUUUGUAUUCAGAUUCAAAACCUCUAGUUUCUUGAGCUUAGAUAACCAUACAGGUAUUUGACCGAUGAGCUCGUUCUGACUCAAAUCCAAAAAUCCAAGAUUUUUGAAUCCAUCAAAAUCAGAUAUGCCAAGAUUAGCUGGAACUGCCCCCACUUGGAAACUAGAUGCCAAGGAUAAGAACACUAGACUUUCGCAACGCAUGAGUAUCUUGAUUGCCCCUGUGAGAUUUGUCAAUCUAUUGAAAGAAAGCGAGAGAUAGGACAAGGAUUUCAAUGACUGAAUUCAUUAAAAUGGAGAUCAAGGAUUGCAAGGUUUGUGAGGUUGAAAAUGCCAUCACUAAGGACUCCGUAAAGUGAAUUGCGAGGUAAUGAUAUUUCUACAAGAGUGAUUACAUUAUACAUAUCUUCCGGAAUCCUACCGUCCGUCUUGACCUUUAGUUGUUUUGGACUUUGGUUACUCUUCUACCAUGUUUAUGGUUUGUUAAUGCUUUUUGCAUUUUUUAUUAUUUUUAAGGGGCGUUGGUCUCAAGUCCUCCCCUUUUUGUUGUUUUACCUCUCUUUAAUUAAAUAAAAUUUCUUGUUUUGCCCAAAAAAAAUAAAUACAUAUCUUCUGGAAGUAUUCCCAAAAGGUUGUUAUACCCAGCACGAAACACCUUGAGCUUGGAACACUCCCCUAGUCCAGGAGAUAUACUGCCGUUGAAGUUAUUGGAAGAAAAAUCUGACAUUCUGAUCAAUGGAGAAGAAGUGAAACAAAUGGGAGAUGGUAUGGAUCCUUUGAACUUAUUAUUGCUGACAUUGAAACUUGUCAGAAGAAUGAAGAUGGAAUGUCAGCAUUGAAAGAAUUAAUUGCUGAACAAAUAAUCCAGCAUCCGGAUACUCCCGGAUAGUGGAGAAAUUGGUAGUUCUCCAGAGAGAAUGUUAUAGCUCAAAUCAAGAUCAGAUGGCGGUUGGUGGUUGAGGACUUGAGAUCGUCGAUCAUCUUAGUGUGACAGUGGUCAGAUACAAGGCUAAUGAACAGUCGUGGAAGGAUGCACGGCUAGCUUGAACAAUAUUUCUGUCUCACUGAUCUUUCAACUCAAACUAAAAAUUGAAGGAGAGCCUUCCUUUUUUGAUGUGUAGAAAACAAGGAAGGAGCUAAGCAUUACUGUGUUGGUAUUGAUAUGGAUGCUUUUGGUUUCAUUAUUGCCUUAUUGGUGGCUUUGGAGAAGGAACUGACAUAGACAUGGUGAUGAAAAGACCUUGAAUCAUGAAGAGUUCAACGAAAAGAAAUGUUUGCUUUCUCCACUAGCAGUAGCAGUAGAAUUUCAUCAGCAGAAUAGAAAGGGCGGCGGAAGGAGGUGGUGACGACGGCAGGAGAUGGAGGGGGAGAAGAGCGAGCUCAGAGAAGGUAGUCUCAGAGAUACAGCCAUUUUUGGUGGGCCACACAGCCCGUUAAGGACCGCACCACUUGGACCGUCUAGCCCCACGUCACAUCUGCCUAGCCCGCAGGAAUUAUAAUCAGGCCCAACUUGUUUUAGACCCAACCCCCUCUUUUGUCUUUUUAAAUGGUGGACCCCUAAAGCCCGUUAAGGCCCGCUCAGGGCUGACCGCCUAGCCAUAGCACUUUUUUCUAGCCCGCAUGAAAUUAUUUUUCUUUUAUAUUUUCUUUUUACCUCUUAAAUUCUGGAAUUGGAAUUCCGCAGAGACGAAACAGAUGCAAAACAGAAUGAAACCGAAAGACAACGAUAAGAAGAAGAAUAAGAAGAAGAGAGAUCAUGAGAUUGAUGAUGAUUCUGAUUCUGUUUCUGGUGGUGAUGCGCAAGCGGUUGUGCAAGACUUGCUGAAGGAGUUUCCGAAUAUCGGGUGCGAUUUGAAGCAGCUUUUGCAAUUGAUCGAUGGCGGCAAAGCGGUCGACAUAAACGGAAUAGGUCAGAAGUGUCUGAUCAAGCCUCUCAGAGCUCUGUUCCUUUGCUUGGUUCUUAAGGAACUAGAUCACGGAUCUUUUGUUGCCUCCACAUGUUCCUCCAACUUUGGAGGUUAUUGGGUCCUUGAUCACGCCUUGUUUAGAUUUAGAUGAUGAAGAUGAUGAUCAUGGUCCUCCUCCUCCUUAUAGAAGGCCAAUUGGUCCGGAGAUGCCGACGCCAGAGCUACUUGCUGCUGCAGCCAAAUUGAGAGAGGCAGAGGCCGAGUUGAGGGAAGCUGAGUUGGAAGAAAAAGAUGAUGGUGUUUUAAUAGGGCCUGCACCGCAUGUUGCGGCUGCUGAAGUUGAAUCAGCUAACCAGGGUGAUCGUUUCGAAGAGGUGACAAGGAUCAUGGAAGCAGAGGAUGAUAGCAUGUAUGAUAUAUUGGGAGCAAACCACAAUGUGUCUGCUGAUAACAUCAAGAAAAGGUACCGGAAGUUGUCGCUUUUGGUGCACCCUGAUAAAUGCUCUCACCCUCAAGCUAGCCAAGCAUUUGUAAAGCUGAACAAGGCGUUUAAGGAGUUACAGGAUCCGCAGAAGCGGAGAGCGCUGGAUGAGAAGAUUGAGGUUAAGGAGAAGCAGGAAAGAUUCAAUGUGGAGUUGACGGCAAUGCGGGAAGCUGCAAUGUGAGCAAUGUGGAGAAAGAUGCAGGGGAUUUACAAGGAGGGUGAUGAGAAGCUACUGGCAGGUGAUGUGAGUGUUGUUAAAUCGGCACGAAAGAGAGAUGAGUGGAUGACAGAGCUUCCACCGGAGAGGAAACAUGGUACGAGUACAAUGCAAUCGACAAUAUUUAGCAGGAGUGCUAAACAAGGGCGUGGGGACACUAGCAGUUGGACUGAUGCUCCUGAGAGAGCUCGAAAAGCUAAGAUGGAUUACUUACAAGCGUGUAAUGAGUUUGCAUCACUUGCUUCGAAUGAGGAGGAGAGGAAGAGGAGUUUAGAUGCAGAGUUAAUGGACAGAUACAAUAAAGAGAAACGAUCGAAGUCAUUGUUACAAAAGCACAAAGAGGAGAUUAGAGCGAGCCGUUUGAAGAGAAAGUACUCCAAGCAACAGGUAGAGGUCCAGUAUUGUGAGGUUAGUCAGGUUGAUAAUUUUAUCAUUAAUGGCUCCAGAUAACGAAUUUCGAGCUAAUGAAAUUUCUUCAAGUGCAGAAGCAUUGUAGAUAUCGUCUGGAAGUAAUCCUGACUCCUGAGAGGUAAUUAUAACCGGCACGAAAGACCUGCAGUUCGGAACAUUUCCCGACUCCACGAGGAAUACCACCAUUGAAAUUAUUGAAGGAAAAAUCAAGGUGUCGUAACGAGGAACAAGGAAGACAAAUAGAGGAUGGGAUAGGACCUGAAAAGGUGUUACUGACAUUGAAACUAGUCAAGUUCCAAGCUUGUUGGAAAAAAGAAGAUGGAAUCAGACCAUGUAAGCGAUUAAUGGAAAAAUCCACCAUCUGAAUAUGACUGGAUGGUAGAGAAGAUGGUAACACUCCAAAGAGAAGGUUAUAGCUCAAAUCCAGGAUUUCGAGAUCAUUCAAGGACAAGAAGAGCUCAGUUUGAUCUAGAGAACCAAAAAGGGAAUUGUGUGAGAGAUUCAAGUAAGUGAGAUGUGUGAGAUUUGCAAGUGAUGAUGAGGGAAAAAUACCUUCCUUUAGUGUGAGCCCUUUGGAGGGUAAUCGCAAGUGGGUUACCCAAUCAUAUCGAUUACAAGUAAUCCCUUCCCAAUAGCAGCAAUUACUAGAAGUCCAGAAUAAGGAAGGGGAAGAUAGAGUGAGGGCAAAGGACAAGAGAGAGGUACGUUCAGUUUGGAUGCAUGCAUCAAUAUUAUGAGUAGAUAAAAUGAGAGAAAACAAGAUUAGCUUGAGAAUAAAGCCUUGUGUCACUGGGUACUCUUGUUGUACUGUUAUGUUUUUUCGAGGCUGAGCCAUGAUCAUGUGGUUGUGGACUUGUGAUAGAUUUUGAUCGUCAGUUUUUGCAUAUAUACAGAUUGAAGCAGAUUUGAAAUUCCAAGACGACCCAGAUUAUAUAUGAUACAUCUUGUCAAUGAAAUUAUACAAUUGGAAGAAAAUAAAACACGGCUGCAUAUAUUAAGGUGGAAAAUAGAAGCAAUGGCAUAUGGACAGAAGAAGGAAAAGCGCGGCUGGCGCCUGCUCCAGGUAACAAUUGAGGAGUAUGGUUUUCAUAUAUAAUAGCUAGCAGUUAGCAGAAGAACAAAUUUAGUAGAAACUAUGCUCUACUUCCAGAAGAUACUAACAUAAAGUCUUAAUUUACAACACCGAGAUCUUUAAAUUGGCAGCUAAGUAUAUAUUAUAGCAUAAAACACCAAAAACAGAGUUGCGGAGAGCUUCAGUAUUUCCAAUGUCUAGCUAGAUGUGUUGACCAUACAAAAUAUUGGAUAGCCUGAAGCUUGCAAAGUUAGUCUUCUUAGGAUGACAAGUAAUCAGAAUGUACUAAGCCUUCUAGAUAGUGUCCUUUAGUCUUUUCUUUUCCUUUUCUUUUUCUUUAAUUUUUCUGCCAUUAUCUCUUCAAAAGAAUGAACUAAGCUUUCUUAAUUUAGUUGGACCACUGUAAGAGAUAGGAUGAGUAUAUAUAUAAUUAUUUACACAUGUAGUUAUUUGUAAAAUUCCUGGCAGCUGCUUAAUUAAUUAAAUAGAUUAUUAAGAUGUCAAUCAUAGAAGAAGAAGAGUAAGAUGCUGUCUACCCAAUAGAAAAAAGAAAAAAAAGAAGAAGAAGAAGAGUGGAAACAAAAAUUUGACUUGAAUAGAAGUACAAGUAUCUAAGAACAGUAUCAUGAAAACAAAGAGUACUGUGUCUUGCAUAAUAAGUAAAACUAAAAUACACUGAAAUUAAGAAUAAGUUCAAACUUCUAGCCUCAGAAGAAUUCUUUCCAACCCGCCCUUGUUAUGCAGACUGUCCAAUCUCAUUCAUAAUUUGAGCCUCUCUUGUACAGUAUACAGGAAAUUGAAAUAUGCAUCCCUCCAGGUCUUGAUAAGCAAUAAUGAACCACAAACUCCCACUAACCCUAUAAUGAAGCCAAGCACAACGGAAAUAGACAAGCCUAGAAUUUGAUUCCCGUCAUUCGUAUCAUCAUCUGAAUCAGUACCAUUGAAUGGUUGGCACGGAUUUAAAAGCGGGGAACCACAAAGCUUUGGAUUCCCCUCAAAUGCUGAGACAUUCAAGCCUUGGAGCUGAGUGCUUUUUGGUAUUUCCCCUUCCAAAUUAUUAUACGAGACAUUUAAAGAUGACAAGAAACUAAGAUGCGCCAAUGAAGCUGGGAUUUCUCCUGACAAAUGAUUCAUUGAAAGAUCCAAAAUCUCCAAGUUUUUGAGAUUAGAUAUUUGGUCUGGAAUGUUGCCUGACACCAGGUUGGCGCUGAGAUCAAAUAUAUGGAGAAGUUGCAGCUUUCCGAUUUCAGUAGGUAUAUUGCCACUGAUGCUAUUGUUGCCUAACAAUAUAGAUGGUGGAUAGUAAGACAAGGAAUUGAACUGUAACAUGCUUGCAUCAGGCAUGGCUUGGGAGACGUGGAGAGGCAAUUCAAGAUAACCAUGAUCUACUUGAGCUGCAGUUUGUUCAGAUACCAACAUUGGUAGUGAGCAAAGUUCUUUUGGAAUUUCACCUGUGAUUAGGUUGGACGCCAAGUUUAUAGAACAGAGCAUUGGAGAAGUCCCCAACCAAGUAGGAAUUGAACCUGUGAUUCUAUUACGUGACAUAUCCAAGAUCUCUAGCUUCUUGAGCUUAGACAACCACAUAGGUAUCUGACCGGUUAGCUCACAACCAUUCAAAGCCAAAAUCCUAAGAUUUUGGAACCCAUCAAGGUCAGCGAUGUGAUCACCAUCUGGCAUUUCUUCACCUAUGAAGUUGUAUGAAAGAAUGAGUACUGUGAGAUUUCUGCCCUUCAAUAUAUCCAUAGCACCUGUGAGAUUGAUCAGUCUGUUCCCAGAAAGUGAUAGGAAGGAUAGGUGUUUUAAUGAGGCAAUCUCGGGUUGUAUUUGUCCCUGUAGAUUGUUGAAGCUUAAUCGAAUUGCUCUAAGGGACUUGCAUGAGUAAAGGCUUAUUGGCAAGAUACCAGUAAAAUGAUUACUCAUGAAGUCAAGUUUACGAAGUUGACCAAGUCUAGAGAAAUUAUAAGUUGAGAUAUCUCCGUCCAAAAGGUUGAAUCCUAGAUUCAGUUCCAUAAGGUUUGUGCAAUUCAGCAAAGAUGGUGGCAAAGAACCUUCUAGAUUGUUGGAAUGAAGGAGCAAGACUUUCAAUUUGGAGAGCUUCCCAAUAUCUAUUGGAAGCAUGCCACUGAACUGAUUCAAGUAGAGGUCAAGUACUGUGAGGUUAGUAAGUUUAACAAUUCUGUUACUGAUGCCCCCUCUAAAAGAAUUUGCAGGGAUUGCAAGUUCUUCUAGUGCGGUAGAAUCAUAGAUAUCUUCCGGAAGUGAUCCUGAGAGGUUAUUGUGACCAGCACGAAAAACUUCCAGUUUGGAACAGUUUCCUAGUGUGCGAGAGAGAUUGCCUCCAAAAUUAUUGUAGGAAAAAUCUAAUAGCCUAAUCAAAGAAGAGUGGACACAAAUAGGGGACGGGAUAUAACCUGUGAAUUGGUUGUUCGUGACAUUGAUAUGAGACAGAUUCUUUGCUUGUUGGAAGAAGGAUGAUGGAAUUGCACCAUGGAAUCGAUUGCUAGACAAAUCCACCAUCCGAAUAUUAUUGGAUGAUGAUAGAGAACCUGGUAGCUCUCCAGAAAGAAAGUUAAAACUCAAAUCAAGUAUCUCAAGAAGACCCAGGGACAAGAAGAAUCCAGCUUGAUCUAAAGAACCAUGAAGUGAAUUGCGAGAGAGAUUGAGGUAGGUUAGAUGUGUGAGAUUACUGAGUGAUGAUGAGGAAAAAAGACCUCCUUUGAGUUUGAGGCCUUUGGAGGAUAGGUGCAAAUGGGUUACUCGACCAACCGCAUCGCAAGUAAUGCCUUCCCAUUUGCAACAAUCCAAGCUGGUCCAAUUUAAGGAAGGAUAAGACAGAGUGAGGGCAAAAGACAAGAGAGAGGUACUUUCACUUGAGGAGCAUGCAUGAAUAUGUGUAGAUGAAAUGGAGCCAAGUAGAAUAAGAAGCAAGUAUUGAGCUAUUGGGUGAUAAGGUUGCACAGCUAGCAUCUUUCUUGGUUUGUGGGACAGUUCAGGUUUAGUUUGAGUUGGUCACCUAGCUAGCCUUGUGCUUGUUUAUAUAAGCAAGAGCCUUUACUUUUUUCUUAGUUUCAAGAAGGUUCAAUUCUUGAAACAGUAGUAGUUCACAGGAAAAACUAUCACGUACUUGAUUGCAAAGUACGAAGAUUUAGCAGGGAACUCCCAGAACCACAAAUCACCAAACAUCGUACGUCUGACGUUUGAACUCUAACGAAGGGGCAGGACCUCUACCGGAGAUUAUGAGUCUGAUAACCUUGCAUCAAAUUUUUCAUUGACGCUGGAGUCACUUAGAUACUCAUGACAUUUGACGCAUGCAUGUAGACUUCUCGAUUACAUGUGAAAUGGAGUUAUGGAGUGAAGGACUAAGAUCAUGUUUGGCUCGGUGAGUAAUGUUUAUCAUCAAGGCAGACAUCGGGAUCCAGACAUUGUCGUUACAUCAGUUAAAUUAAGUCCAUGUUGGCUUGCUGUGCUGUUGAUGACUUUCAAAAUGUCGAUUUCUCUGAAAUGUGAGUGAGUUGUGACUUGUUAAGUUUUUGAUUAUUUGUGAACCUAACAUUGUAGAGGUUAUGACCCCGAACAAACUAUUAUAUGAGAAUAUGCGGGGUGGGAAAACAAACAGAAAGAAGGAAGAACUAAUUUCUAGUCUUGUGGUGUAACUGACGAAGGCGAUGGAAGAACCUCCAUAGGAGGAGGAAGUCAGUGAAAUGACCUUGUAUUAAAUUUUUCAUUGACGCCGGAAUGUCACUAAGACACUGACGUUCGAAACACCCAUGUAGACUUCUCACUAACAUCUUGUAUGGCUCUGUGAGUAAUGUUCAUCAUCAAGGCAGCUAUUGUCAUCUCAGUGGUUAUAAGUCCAUGAUGAUGAUUUGUUGAAACGUUUCUAAGUUGUUGUCUUGUUGAUUAUUUGUAAACCUGACAUUGUAGAGUUAUAGGUCUGAACAUAUGAAUAUAUGAGAAGGAAAAUGAUUGUUUGCCUCGAUAAAUUUUAGGGUCAAUUACAUAUAAGUCCACUUUGAGACAUUUUUUUCCCAUAUUAGUCUACCAUAACAUUUUUACCCACAUAAGUCCACCCAAGCCUAAAUAAGGUUUUGUUUUAGGUAUUAAAGUUAAACAUAAUUACAGACUGCCAUUCAACAAAAAAAAGAUUAUCUCUCUUAUAUUUACAAAAAUAUCACUAACGUAAAAAAUCAACACCUACUAUCAUCUCCGGCCAACCUCAGGCGAGAUCUCCGGCCGAUCUCCGACAAAGUUUCCCACCGACCUCCAACAAUGUUACCGACGAUUGCAAAAGAUACUGUCACCAGCAACAAAAGCUACUACCACAGGCUAUAAAACCUACUACCACCAGCUAUAAAAUCUACUAUGGACCUAUGGUGAGAUUUUCAGCAACCUCCGACAAGGUCACAAAAGAUACUAUCGCCAGCAACAAAAAAUACUACCGAACAUAACAAAAGCUACUACCACCAGCUACAAAAGCUACUAUGCUGAGAUUCCAACGAUCUCCAGCGAAGUCACAAAAGAUAUUAUCACCAGCUAUAAAAGAUACUACCGAGCAUAUGAAAAGCUACUGUCACCAACAAAAAAAGCUACUAUCACCAGCUAUAAAAGAUACUACCGAGCAUAUGAAAAGCUAUUGUCAUCAACAAAAAAAGCUACUAUCACCAGCUAUAAAAGAUAAUACCGAGCAUAUGAAAAGCUACUGUCACCAACAAAAAAAUUUACUAUCACCAGCUAUAAAAGAUACUAUUGAGCAUAUGAAAAACUACUACAAGGUAGAACAAAACUACUGUCACCAACAAAAAAGCUACUGUCACCAACUAUAAAAGAUACUACCGAGCAUAUGAAAACUANNNNNNNNNNNNNNNNNNNNNNNNNNNNNNNNNNNNNNNNNNNNNNNNNNNNNNNNNNNNNNNNNNNNNNNNNNNNNNNNNNNNNNNNNNNNNNNNNNNNNNNNNNNNNNNNNNNNNNNNNNNNNNNNNNNNNNNNNNNNNNNNNNNNNNNNNNNNNNNNNNNNNNNNNNNNNNNNNNNNNNNNNNNNNNNNNNNNNNNNNNNNNNNNNNNNNNNNNNNNNNNNNNNNNNNNNNNNNNNNNNNNNNNNNNNNNNNNNNNNNNNNNNNNNNNNNNNNNNNNNNNNNNNNNNNNNNNNNNNNNNNNNNNNNNNNNNNNNNNNNNNNNNNNNNNNNNNNNNNNNNNNNNNNNNNNNNNNNNNNNNNNNNNNNNNNNNNNNNNNNNNNNNNNNNNNNNNNNNNNNNNNNNNNNNNNNNNNNNNNNNNNNNNNNNNNNNNNNNNNNNNNNNNNNNNNNNNNNNNNNNNNNNNNNNNNNNNNNNNNNNNNNNNNNNNNNNNNNNNNNNNNNNNNNNNNNNNNNNNNCGCAUUGUUCAAAAUAUACUAUCAUACAAUGAGGCCGAAACAUACUAAUGAAUCUUGUUUCAUUCAUCUCCUGCAUUAUCAUAACAUGAUUUUGUGCAUGAUUUCUCACACUCACUAUCAAAUUAACAGAAAACAUCAUCCUAAUACAUGUUUACAUUUUCUCAAAACCAAAGAAAGAAAUUGUAGCAAAUUUACACUAAGAAUUUUACCAGAACAGUCACCUCCAAUCGGAGGUCUAGAUCUUUAGGUCGUCAACCAGAUCUACUACUUCUCGUCGCCGAUCUUCAUUGAUCGGAGCCAUCUGAGGCGACAUCUUUGAAGUCGGCGGAAGGCGAUCACAGCCGUCAAGGACCAAACGAGCCGGCGAGCCAUCAGGUUUCAGAGAUCCCGUCGAGGUCAAAUAAGAAGUUGUUAUCGAUGGAACUGGACGCAAGAGAUGAUCUGACGACUUCGAGGUCAAGGCGCGUUGUCGUCGAUCCGGCAGCUUCGUGGUCGAGGCGCCGUCGUCGAGUCGGCGGAGUUGAGGUCGAGGUGAAGGCUUCAUCGUCGUUCUGGUGACGUCGAGGUCGAGCCAACGUCGUCAUCUAUCAAGUGGCGCCGAGCCAUCGUCGUUGAGUGGGUGUUGGCCUGAGACGCCGCCAUGGCCGGAGAUUCGAGAUCAGAGAAGAGAGGGAGGAGGAAGACGAUGAGAGAGAGAGAGAGAGAGAGAGAGAGAGAGAGAGAGAGAGAGAGAGAGAGAGAGAGAGANAGNNNNNNNNNNNNNNNNNNNNACAACAAUGAUCGAUCAAUCCUUUUUGUCAUGCCUUUGUCACCUACGUAUAUAAUUUCAUCAUGAAAUUCUUAAGAAAAAUACUAUUUCAUCCUUCCAAAAUCUAAAACGACUCAAUUAUAUUGUUUUUUUUUCUUUAGACAUAAAUGAAAACAACAAUUUUUAUUCUUCAAUCAAGAAUCGAAAAAUUUCAUGUAAUUCAGUCAAUAUAUUUGCACAAACAUCAGAGCAAUUGAAUUGCAUGGCACAUGUACCUGAAUUAGAACUUUUUUGCGUUCCGAAAUUUUUUGAAAAUAUAAUGUUAACAAUACAUUCAUAUGAUUAUGCUUAUUUGUGUGUGUAUAUGAUGAGCUAGCGUUAGUUUCAUAAUACAAAGCUAACUCCCCAUUAACUAAACUUUUCGGUCAUAUGUCUGGAUCUUUCACUCUUCAGUUUAUAGUUCCCUAUGUGCAUUCAGAAAAUUUUCAGCCAAUAUCUAAUGAUGGUUUGGGUAUCGAGCAGUGUCAAAUUAAUGGACGAACCGAUAUUCAACUUAUACUGAUCAUGUUCAUAAUUAAUAAAUCACUAUUUUGAAUACCCAAACGAUUGUCAAAUUGGCUAGAAAUAUUCAAGGAUGAUCCACGCAUAGGGAACUACAAGCUGGACAAUGAAAGAUCCAGACAUAUGACCAAAAAGUUGGGUUAAGGGCGGGUUAGCUUUGUAUUAUGAAACUAACCGGUUAGUUGUAUAACGCAUUAUUAAGUUUGUGUGUGUAUACAGUCUCUAUCCACAGCGAAGCUUCGUUUUGAAAUUAUAGUAUGAAGUUUCUUUUUUGACUCACUUUUUAGUCAUAUUGUCACAUCUCCACCGUUCAGUUUGUAGAAGCUAAUGCAUAAAUUGGUCUUAAUGGCUUAAAACGUCCCGUUUAAUUUAGUUUGUAAAUAUGCAGUGCGUCCCGUUUAGUUUGUAAAUACACAGUGUUUUGUGUUGUUGGUGUGACCGUGUUAGGUAGCUGUGAGCUGUAGUAACCAGUGUCGGAAUGACACGUGUCUGUCAUGCCACAACUCAUCUAUAUGAGCUGCUACUUUCUUCCUUUGAGAUAUGCAUGACUAUGUUCUUUUUGUUAACUUUUUUAUUAAAUAACUUACACACCCUUAUAUAGGUGAUGUUUGAACUUAUGAAAUCAACGUUGUUGAUUAAGUUACCUAAUCAACCAGGCACGGCUCACGGACUAUGCAUGACCAUUUUACUUUCUUAGAUAUUUUCUUGACACUUUCAUUUUCUUCUAAGACGUUAGGGUUAGAACCCCAACACUCUUUUGGGGAUAAAGUUAACCAAGCACUACAAGAAUUCAGGGCUUUUACCGCCUAAAAUUUAUGGCGUGCAUCGAUGCGUGCCGUAAAAAUGGGUCAUUUACGGCGUGCAUUUAUAGCAUGCCGUAAAUAUAAUGUUAUGUAGAGUUAUUUACGGCGUGCUUCGUAAGUGCGCCGUAAAUGAGAUUGUGUCUCGAGUUAUUUACGGCUUGCAAUAAAAGCACGCCGUAAAUGAAGAGGUAUUUACAACAUUCCUUUAUUGCGCACCAUUAAUAAGUAUAUGGUAUUUACUGCGUGCAAUAGUUGCACGCCGUAUUAGGGUUUUAACCAUAGACUCAUGUAUAAAAGAGAAGAGACAGGUUGACUUUGGUCAAAACCGAAACUGGUGUUGACCCGAGCCUAGAACUUUCUCUCUCUCUCCCUCUCCGCCUGCCUCCGCCAUCUCCGGCGUGGCGUAGCCGAUUCCGGCCGCCGCAUGCCGCAAGUUCACCACCAAAAUGUUCGUCUUCCUCUUCUCCACCUUCCUUUACCCACCAAUUCGACUUAGGACCAUAGACUUUUCAAAUUGAAGUCCAAACCUUAACCCCCAAAUCCGAUUUCUGGCCGAAUCUCUUUCUCUCCAAUGAGCCCGUGCUUCGUGAAGGUAAACUCAUCACUUCCCUCUUGUUUUCACUCUUCAUUGAGCUUCAAUUUCCAUAUUAGAGCCCUAAUCCUAUUUCUCUAUUUUGCUACAUAUUUAUGGGUUCCCGUCGAAGUUUUCCGGCGACAGUGUUCUUGAGCUUUCAACGACCUCGUCAAGUUCAGGUGGAGUCCAAAAGCGUUUCAGUCCCUUGUUCUUGGUAACUGGAUUCUAUUUCUUAAAUCAAGUGCUCUUUAAUUUGUUGCUUUCUGCAAUUUCCAUUUCCAAUCUUCACUAUACUCACUUUGAUUUAAUUAGGAUAGUUUCACUACUCUUUUAAAUGAAAUAGAGAAUUUAUAACCUGCUGGAAAUCAAAUGGUUUGUUCGAAAAGAAUCAUAUGAUAUUUACAUUAUAGUUUUUCUUUACUAAUAUACAUACAUACUCGAUCUAUCAUACUCAUUGAUCGGUAUUUUCACUUUUUAGAGGAUAUUGAGAAUUUAUAACCUGUUUGAAAUCAAUGAUAUAGGUAUUAUAUUUUCCCUUUAUCUAGCUUAAUCAGUUUUUCUAGCUUAAUCAGUUUUUAAUUACCUGGGAUAUAUAUAUAUAUAUAUAUAUAUAUAUGAUCGAGUAUCAGUUUCUUCUUUAGAUCGAUCCCAGAAAAUAGAAAAAACGAAGAGUGCAUGAAAUUAUAUAAAAUACUUAGAAUUAAGGAUGAUCUGGAUCUCCUCAGUUAAAUUGAUUUCAUCUACUAAAAGAGGUUUUUUUGUUAGUUUUCGUUAUGUUAGCUAGCUCCUUGGUCUUCUUAAAAUACUUUUGUGCUUCACAGAGAUAAGAGAACACUGGAUCUUAGGUUGUUAUCAUAGUCCAGCUUGUCACUCCAGGUUGAUCAAUGUGUACGGAUCGCUCAAUUGGUUGUCAAGAUUAAAUAAGAACGCAAGAAGAUAAUUAGUCCUAUUGAUUUCUAUCAUAAACAGCUUUUACCUGGAAGAUAAUAUAGUCAAUUGGGUGCAAUGAUAAAAGUAACUCACUCAAUCUAUCGUACUAAGAAGAGUAAUAAUAUACAGAAAAUCUUCAUCAUCCUCAUCAUAUUAUAGUCAGUUGGGUUAGAUUUUAUAAUUCGGAUUGCAACAAGGAACAAUCCAGUGGGGCAUGAGCGUGAAAAAGUUUCCUUACCAAGAUAACCUGAUGGUGAAUAUAUCAAGGUUACAAGCGCAAAGGCUUUGUGAAUUCGUUUUAGUGAUCGAAAUACGAUAUAUACAUGGCUGAAUACACCAAAGUAAUUACAAGGGUUAUAUCUGUAUGUAUAAUGGUGAAAUUUGAGUGCUGCUAUAUGUAAUUAUAAAAUCCUUACCCCUUGAAAUUUGGCUUUAUGGAAUCUAAUCUGGAUUUUCUGAAGUAUAUUUCCAAUGGGUCCUAUAUUUCCAAGUUCAUGAAAUUCUAUUGUAGCUCAUUCUGUUUCUUUGUGUUUUGAUUCGGUUGCUUGUGCUUUCUGAUUGUGUAUUACCAAUUUGUGUUCCCAAGUUCAAGUUGGUGCCUUAUUGAGCAAUUAGUAUUCGUGCUUCCUGUAAUUGUUUGUGUUCAUUUUAGUUUGAUAUUUGCUUUGCUGAAUGAUCUGAAUUUUGCUAGUUUGGGUGUUGUAGGUGAUUCAUGUCCAUCUCGUGGUUGAUGACUAUGUACUUGAAGGUCUUAUGAUUACCGCAAAGCAGGUAUUACUUUUUCCAUAAACAUAAAAAUGAGUUUUGAUUCUAGGGUGAUAGAAAAAAUUUGAUCUUUCAUCCGUGGCAAGCUGUUCAAUGAUAUUUGGUUUCUUUCAGCUUGUUAUGCCUUCCAAUCAGAUGAUAAGUCAUAAUUGUUAACCAUGUCAAUAUGGCCAAAGGGUAAGUAGAAGUUCAUAGAUGCACAAUUACAACUUUGUUUAGCUGAAUUUGAUGCAGUUGUUUAGCUGAAUUUGAUAAUAUCGUCGUUUUAGGUUGCGGCUACAAAAAACAAGUGGGAGCAAUGAUAUCGAUCGACCACAGGCUCUUCAAGGGAGACCUCUUUGGAGAAGCAUAUUGAAAGGAACCUAAAUUCAGUGUCUGUUGUAGCAUAUAUAUAGGUAAUUAACUUUAAUGUACUUUAAGUCAUGUUUGGUCAUUUGCUUACUAGCUUGAUGUAAUGAGUUAUAUUAAUACAUUCUAAAUUGUUACUUUGUAAAUGACAUUAGUUAUAUUGAUGGUAAUUUGAGUAUGACAUUUGAGUAAGAAGAUUUUUUUUUUUAUUUGAACAUACCUUAUUUACGGCAUGUAGUGUGCGCCUUAAAAGAUGAUGAUAAAUGACCUAAAUGACAUUUAUGGAAUUACUUUUACGGAUUGUUAAUUAUUUUUUUAUGACGUAUUUUUGCACGCCAUAAAAGAUAUUAGUCUUUUAUGGCCCGAGCUUUUACUGCCUACUUUUGUACGCCGUAAAAAGGCUUUUACGGCGUGCAUUGCGGGUCGUAAAAGAUCAUUUUUGGCGUAGUGAAGAGAGAAGUUCCAGAAUGGGAAUCUGCAAUUGUAUUACAAGUUUACAACCACCAUCACAAUCCAUCACAAUAUCAUGCAUAGAAGUAUGUUCAAGUCCUAUCAGGUAUACAUCUCCAUUGAAAAAUUUGAAAGUAGAAUAUCGAAUAUGCUUUUUUUUACAUAAAAUUAUAAUAAAAGUAAAAGUAGACAUACCAAUUGGUUUAUCCCCAACAAUCUAAAAUCCAAUUUGGAUGACGAGAACUGAACCUCGUAAUUUGUGAACAAGCAAAAUAGCGAGACUGAGGGGUUGAGAGAUGGAGACAAAGAGAGAUUUAGAGAUAGAUGAUGAAAAUUUUGGAAUGCUCGCCUAUUUAUAGAGAGAUUUUGAAGAAGAUGAAUAAUCUUCUUCAUAACUUGGUAACGGGUACUCGAUUUGCUUCAUUUUUGCUAGUAUAUUACACGAAAUGCUGAAAAUUGUUGGAGAUUGCGCGAUUUAUGUUUAGUUUUUUUUUUUCGAUAUCUUCAUUAAAAAAGAUUUUGGGACCCUAAAUUUUAGGUUAAGGCUUAUCACCUUGCUUGCCCUGAACAAGUGCUGGGCCUGUAUAAGUACUGUUUAAGCAUUCAGAUUGUCGUUUGUUUAUUUAGAUCGUUAGAGAUUUAGUUCAUUUGUAGGCUCCCUUUAAGGAUGAGGUUGUUUUAUGCACACCAAUAGGAGUUGACACACAAACUGUAUCCAGGAACACAGAUAUAUAGGAUACUAAGAUGGAUUGCGAGUCCUUAUAGAAAUAUUUUAAACAGUUUUAUUAUAGGAUAGAAUAGAAAUUAUGUUGAACAAUCAUGCAGUACAUGUAAGUACGUAGUGUAGUAAAAUAGGGCUGUAUAACGUAAAAGCUCCCUCUUGAUAUUUCUCUUAUUCAUAUUCACUAUUUGACUAAAGUUUGACGGUACUAUGGAGCGCUUGGUGUUGGUGUAUUUCCACUCCUUCCACAGAUCCCUGCAAAGUAAACAAAAUGGACAAGGUAUAUAUGGUAUUAGUUUAGUGAAGGAAACACUAGCACCGGCCACUUUAGUUGAACCCCUAAAAAUGGGAAUGGGAUCACUUCAAGUCUUCAACCAACUAGUUAUAUAUCUGAUAAAUCCUCUGAUAAACUUUUUCUGGAAAAGAAAAUGAAAUCGCACUUAUAUGUAUAUCAACUGAAUAAUAUUGUUGUUUGUUCGUAGGAACCCAUUAAUAAUGGAGAGAAAAACAAAUACCAUGAAUGGGGGUGGAGCCGCAGAACUCUCUAUUAAGGGUAACGCCCAUCCGACGAGGGUGGCGAUGAGUAGAAAUCCGGUUUGAGGGAGGAGAUGACAGACCGAUUGAGUUGUGUUGAGCUUGGUUGGAUGCAUAUGCAUGAAGAAUGGUAUUAGUUGAUAUGAAGGAAGAGAAGAAGAUCAGGCCUAGAAAGAAGAUGCGAUGAUUCAUCACCAUGUCUCCGUUCAGUUUAGAAUGAUUUCUCACCUAGUACUGCAGGCUAUUUAUACAGUUAUACGUUGGGGGAUGAGGACUAAUUUGAUGCAUUUAAGGAAAGUUAAUAACGCUGAUUGAGACCCCCAACCAGAAAGUCCAUAACCCAAUCUGACGGGCAUUACAUUUUCCAUAUCAGUUGAGAGAGAUCAUGACUUUAGAACCAAUUGAACGAAAAUGCAUAUUAUGAGUCGCUAUUGGGUAAUUAGCAAGUGUGUAUGUUCUAGGUGAUUCCUAUAAAAUCAGUGCGAUUUGAGUGGCGUAUUGAGGAAGAAUAAAAAGUUACAUCUAUUCCUGAGAAUAAAUCACUCAUCUUACUAGUUUGAAUUACCUUGAUGAGAUGAGUUGGGGAUGUACUCUGUCUCCUUACAAGGAUCCCAGAGGACGUCAAAGCAUGACCCCCUCGAUGCAUGCAUAUGCUUAUCAGAAUGGGGAGUGCAUGAAUUUCCUAAUGAAAUUAGAAGCUGAGGGACUGAAUUGAUAAAAACCCUUUUCAGAUAUAGGAUAUGAGUUUUAUGUAAUUAAGAGAAGAAGAAGAGUAAUUAAGAGAAAAAAAACAAUCAAGUACCGAUAUCUAAAAACAGUAUCGUGAGAACAAAGAGUACUAUGCCUUGCAUAAUAAGCAACACAAAAAUACACUGAAAUUAAGAAUAUAGAAUCAUCUUGUAGCCUCAUAAGAAUUCCUUCCAACCAGCUUGUCUUGCAAACUGUCCAAUCGAUCUCAUUCAAAAUUUGAGCCUAUCUUGUACAGUAUUCAGGAAUUUGAAAUAUGCAUCUCUCCAGGUCUUGAUAAGCACUAAUGACCCACAAACUCCCACUAACCCUAUAGUGAAGCCAAGCACAAAUAUGCAAGCCUAGAAUUUGAUUCCCGUCAUUAGUAUCAUCAUCUGAAUCAGUACCAUUGAAUGGUUGACACAGAUUUAGAAGCGGGGAACCACAAAGCUUCGGAUUCCCCUCAAAUGCUGAGACAUUCAAUCCUCGGAGCUGAGUGCUUUUUGGUAUUUCUCCUUCCAAAUUAUUGUAUGAGACAUUUAAAGAUGACAAGAAACUAAGAAGCGCCAAUGAAGCUGGGAUUUCUCCUGACAAAUGAUUCAUUGAAAGAUCCAGAGUCUCCAAGUUGUUGAGAUUCGAUAUUUGGUCUGGAAUGUUGCCGGACACCUGGUUGGCGCUGAGAUCCAAUAUAUGGAGAAGUUGCAACUUCCCGAUUUCAGUAGGUAUAUUGCCACUGAUGCUAUUGUUGCCUAACAAUAUAGAUGGUGGAUAGAAAGACAAAGAAUUGAACUGUAAAAUGCUUGCAGCAGGCAUGGCUUGGGAGGCGUAGAAAGGCAAUUCAAGAUAACCAUGAUCUAGUUGAGCUGCAGCUUGUUCAGAUACCAACAUUGGUAGUGUGCAAAGUUCUUUUGGAAUUUGACCUGAGAUUAGGUUGGACCCCAAGUUUAUAGAAGAAAGUGUUGGAGAAGUCCCCAACCAAGUAGGAACUGAGCCUGUGAUUCUAUUAAGUGACAUAUCCAAGAUCUCUAGCUUCUUGAGCUUAGACAACCAUAUAGGUAUCUGACCGGUGAGCUCACAACCACGCAAAGCCAAAAUCCUAAGAUUUUGGAAUCCAUCAAAAUCAGCCAUGUGAUCACCAUCUGGAAUUUCUUCACCUAUAAAAGUGGUUGAAAGAAUGAGUACAGUGACAUUUCUGCAGCCCUUCAAUAUAUCCAUAGCGCCUGUGAGAUUGGUCAGUCUGUUCCCAGAAAGUGAGAGGAAGGAUAAGUGCUUUAAUGAGACAAUCUCCGGUUGUAUUUGUCGUUCUAGGUUGUUUAAGCUUAAUCGAAUUGCUCUAAGGGACUUGCAUGAGUAAAGGCUUACUGGCAAGAUACCAGGAAAUUGUUUACUGAUGAAGUCAAGUUUACGAAGUUGACCAAAUCUAGAGAAAUUAUAAGCUGAGAUAUCUCCGUCCAAAAGGUUGAAUCCUAGAUUCAGUUCCAUAAGGUUUGUGCAAUUCAGCAAAGAUGGUGGCAAAGAACCUUCUAGAUUGUUGGAAUGAAGGAGCAGGACUAUCAAUUUGGAAAGCUUCCCAAUAUCUAUUGGAAGCAUGCCACUGAAAUGAUUUAAGUAGAGGUCAAGGAUUGUGAGGUUAGUGAGGUUAACAAUUCUGUUACUAAUGCCCCCAUGAAAAGAAUUUGCGGGGAUUGCAAUUUCUUUUAGUGAGGUAGCAUCAUAGAUAUAUUCUGGAAGUGAUCCUGAGAGGUUAUUGUAACCAGCACGAAAAACUUCCAGUUUGGAACAGUUUCCUAGUGUGCGAGAGAGAUUGCCUCCAAAAUUAUUGUAGGAAAAAUCUAAUAGCCUAAUCAAAGAAGAGUGGACACUGAUGGUUUUUAGAAGUGGUUAUGAUACCACUCUUAGAAAUUGUUAUGUGCGGAAGCUAUUAGUGGUGAUGGGCUAGAACAAAGUGUUUAGGACUUUGGUAUAUAGGAGCUAAACUUGGGAGAAUGUUGUUAUUAGGACAAGGUUAUUAUGACAACUAGUUUAGGAGGAUAGAAGGGUUUAGAGGAGAAUUAGAAACAGAGGAGGGCUACUUCAGUUGAAUGCUUUCUUCAUUCAUUCAUAAGUUUGUUACUUGUUGGAUUACAUUGCAUACAUAUUUAUAGAGGUCAUUAACCGACCUUGCAUAGUAGCCACCGACCUAAUGGUCUUCUCUAGAACAUCCUAGACCACUUAGCUAGCUUUAGAUUAUUACACUUCUUUCAUGAUCAUUUUAUAUUAAUCUAGAUUAUUCUAGCUAGCUCUAUCACUUCCUUAGACUUUUCUAGACAACUUGAUCAAUGUAGAACAUUCUAGAUAUGUUUCAAUGCACAUUACUUUCUAACAGACACAAAUAGGGGACGGGAUAUAACCUAGGAAUUGGUUGUUCGUGACAUUGAAAUGAGACAGGUUCUUUGCUUGUUGGGAGAAGGAUGAUGGAAUUGCACCAUGGAAUUGAUUGCUAGACAAAUCCACCAUCCGAAUAUUAUUGGAUGAUGAUAGAGAACCUGGUAGCUCUCCAGAAAGAAAGUUAAAACUCAAAUCAAGUAUCUCAAGAAGACCCAGGGACAAGAAGAAUCCAGCUUGAUCUAAAGAACCAUGAAGUGAAUUGCGAGAGAGAUUGAGGUAGGUUAGAUGUGUGAGAUUACUGAGUGAUGAUGAGGAAAAAAGACCUCCUUUGAGUUUGAGGCCUUUGGAGGAUAGGUGCAAAUGGGUUACUCGACCAACCGCAUCGCAAGUAAUGCCUUCCCAUUUGCAACAAUCCAAGCUGGUCCAAUUUAAGGAAGGAUAAGACAGAGUGAGGGCAAAAGACAAGAGAGAGGUACUUUCACUUGAGGAGCAUGAAUGAAUAUGUGUAGAUGAAAUGGAGCCAAGUAGAAUAAGAAGCAAGUAUUGAGCUAUUGGGUGAUAAGGUUGCACUGCUAGCAUCUUUCUUGGUUUCUC